This 253-nucleotide ribosomal RNA is filed under the name uncultured bacterium. Its description in RNAcentral is "partial 16S ribosomal RNA". It matches the Rfam family "Bacterial small subunit ribosomal RNA", at positions 524 to 776 of the family's 1533-position model. The record is from RNAcentral.
UACGGAGGGUGCGAGCGUUGUCCGGAAUUAUUGGGCGUAAAGGGCGCGUAGGCGGCUUGGCAAGUGGAAGGUGAAAUCCCUCGGCUCAACUGAGGAACUGCCUUCCAGACUGCUUUGCUUGAGUCCGGGAGAGGUGAGUGGAAUUCCCAGUGUAGCGGUGAAAUGCGUAGAUAUCAGGAGGAACACCGAUGGCGAAGGCAGGUCUCUGGGCCGAUACUGACGCUGAGGAGCGAAAGCGUGGGGAGCGAACAGG